UACGAAGGGGGCUAGCGUUGCUCGGAAUCACUGGGCGUAAAGGCGCACGGUGGGCGUCUUUAAGUCAGGGGUGAAAUCCUGGAGUUCAACUCCAGAACUGCCUUUGAUACUGAGGAUCUUGAGUAUGGGAGAGGUAAGUGGAACUGCGAGUGUAGAGGUGAAAUUCGUAGAUAUUCGCAAGAACACCAGUGGCGAAGGCGGCUUACUGGUCCGGUUCUGGCGCUGAGGCGCGAAAGCGUGGGGAGCAAACAGG
RNAcentral lists this ribosomal RNA (253 nucleotides) under uncultured bacterium. Its description in RNAcentral is "partial 16S ribosomal RNA". It matches the Rfam family "Bacterial small subunit ribosomal RNA", at positions 524 to 776 of the family's 1533-position model. The record is from RNAcentral.